This 403-nucleotide ribosomal RNA is filed under the name bacterium. RNAcentral's name for it is "partial 16S ribosomal RNA". It matches the Rfam family "Bacterial small subunit ribosomal RNA", at positions 355 to 776 of the family's 1533-position model. The record is from RNAcentral. RNAcentral also lists the same sequence under 1 other name.
UGGGGAAUAUUGCACAAUGGGGGAAACCCUGAUGCAGCGACGCCGCGUGAACGAAGAAGGUAUUCGUAUCGUAAAGUUCUGUCCUAUGGGAAGAUAAUGACAGUACCAUAGAAGAAAGCUCCGGCUAAAUACGUGCCAGCAGCCGCGGUAAUACGUAUGGAGCGAGCGUUGUCCGGAAUUAUUGGGCGUAAAGGGUACGCAGGCGGUUUAAUAAGUCGAAUGUUAAAGAUCGGGGCUCAACCCCGUAAAGCAUUGGAAACUGAUAAACUUGAGUAGUGGAGAGGAAAGUGGAAUUCCUAGUGUAGUGGUGAAAUACGUAGAUAUUAGGAGGAAUGCCAGUAGCGAAGGCGACUUUCUGGACACAAACUGACGCUGAGGUACGAAAGCGUGGGGAGCAAACAGG